UCCUGUCUCGCGAAAAGUGGUCCUUGCGACCGCCUGCCCUCCAUCUAUAAGUGAUGGAAGGGAUAGCGAGGCGGGUUAUU
RNAcentral lists this non-coding RNA (80 nucleotides) under unclassified sequences. RNAcentral describes it as "DUF3800-IX RNA". It matches the Rfam family "DUF3800-IX RNA". Rfam says of the family: Actinobacteria, Firmicutes (1 example), Nitrospirae, Proteobacteria, Verrucomicrobia (1 example). Nearby to DUF3800 The record is from Rfam by way of RNAcentral.